Molecule: long non-coding RNA, 935 nt
Organism: Monodelphis domestica (gray short-tailed opossum)
Lineage: Eukaryota; Metazoa; Chordata; Mammalia; Didelphimorphia; Didelphidae
Source: RefSeq, a predicted model, not a curated record
AGCCCUGCAGAAUGUCCAGGCGCUGACGUCACCGGCCAUCAGCUCUGAGCGGGGGAGGGGCGCCUAACCAGGGCUCGGCUCCGCUAGGCUACGGCUCCCCCUCUGGCUGAGAAUGGCUACUGCACAGGAGACAGAGGCGGGGACCCGCCCAAAGCCCAGCCCAGCCUCAGCUGCCUGAGCUGGGAGACCUGUGGGCAGGGAGCACAAUCUGAGGACCAGGGACAGCUCCCAGGGCAGGGAAAAGGUCCAGGACUGGUUCCUCCAGACCUGUCACAGCCCCGCGGGAGGGGGGCACGUGUGGCUGGGGGGGGGGGGCUCAGGGACACUGUGAAGACAAGAAGUAAGGCAGGGGCUUGGCCAGGGCUCACACAGACAGCAAAGGGCCAAAGACGGCCUGGGAGCCUGCCAGGGUAGCUGCCUUUCAUCUCCUGGGCUCUGCUUCCACUGGGAGCCAAGCUAAAGUGGCCCAAAUUCCCUGCAAGCUACUCCAGCACAGCUGCUGAAGAAAUUUCCCUCAGAGCUAGGGAUGCUGGCAGGCUUCAGACUGGAACCUGGCCUAAGAGAGGGACCAAUCACUCCCCUGGCCUUUGGGUCAAAAGGGGAUGGACAGCCCCCAAGAUGAGCCUGAGCACAAUCCCUUGGCUUCUCCACUUGUGAAAUUGGGAUGACUCAGAACUGACUCCAUUUGGGCUCUCCUUCAACGUUUCCUGAACCUUACUAGUCUGUGAUGUUCUACCAACCAGAGGGAGAGCGCUUCUCCCCCAACAUGCAAAGAUCAUGGAUAUCUCUCACUCAACUUGUCUCUCUCUGCUUCCACAAAGACUGAAGAAGAGCAAGAAUUAAGAAGCAGGAGCCCAAUUCAAUGUAGCAUUGGGGCUCAGCGUAUAGGGAACAGCUUUCCCUGGAGGGCAAUAAACACUUCAUCACCACCCAAA